RNAcentral lists this ribosomal RNA (1379 nucleotides) under Staphylococcus argenteus. RNAcentral's name for it is "bacterial SSU rRNA". It matches the Rfam family "Bacterial small subunit ribosomal RNA", at positions 73 to 1436 of the family's 1533-position model. The record is from RNAcentral. Lineage: Bacteria; Bacillati; Bacillota; Bacilli; Caryophanales; Staphylococcaceae.
GAGAAGCUUGCUUCUCUGAUGUUAGCGGCGGACGGGUGAGUAACACGUGGAUAACCUACCUAUAAGACUGGGAUAACUUCGGGAAACCGGAGCUAAUACCGGAUAAUAUUUUGAACCGCAUGGUUCAAAAGUGAAAGACGGUCUUGCUGUCACUUAUAGAUGGAUCCGCGCUGCAUUAGCUAGUUGGUAAGGUAACGGCUUACCAAGGCAACGAUGCAUAGCCGACCUGAGAGGGUGAUCGGCCACACUGGAACUGAGACACGGUCCAGACUCCUACGGGAGGCAGCAGUAGGGAAUCUUCCGCAAUGGGCGAAAGCCUGACGGAGCAACGCCGCGUGAGUGAUGAAGGUCUUCGGAUCGUAAAACUCUGUUAUUAGGGAAGAACAUAUGUGUAAGUAACUGUGCACAUCUUGACGGUACCUAAUCAGAAAGCCACGGCUAACUACGUGCCAGCAGCCGCGGUAAUACGUAGGUGGCAAGCGUUAUCCGGAAUUAUUGGGCGUAAAGCGCGCGUAGGCGGUUUUUUAAGUCUGAUGUGAAAGCCCACGGCUCAACCGUGGAGGGUCAUUGGAAACUGGAAAACUUGAGUGCAGAAGAGGAAAGUGGAAUUCCAUGUGUAGCGGUGAAAUGCGCAGAGAUAUGGAGGAACACCAGUGGCGAAGGCGACUUUCUGGUCUGUAACUGACGCUGAUGUGCGAAAGCGUGGGGAUCAAACAGGAUUAGAUACCCUGGUAGUCCACGCCGUAAACGAUGAGUGCUAAGUGUUAGGGGGUUUCCGCCCCUUAGUGCUGCAGCUAACGCAUUAAGCACUCCGCCUGGGGAGUACGACCGCAAGGUUGAAACUCAAAGGAAUUGACGGGGACCCGCACAAGCGGUGGAGCAUGUGGUUUAAUUCGAAGCAACGCGAAGAACCUUACCAAAUCUUGACAUCCUUUGACAACUCUAGAGAUAGAGCUUUCCCCUUCGGGGGACAAAGUGACAGGUGGUGCAUGGUUGUCGUCAGCUCGUGUCGUGAGAUGUUGGGUUAAGUCCCGCAACGAGCGCAACCCUUAAGCUUAGUUGCCAUCAUUAAGUUGGGCACUCUAAGUUGACUGCCGGUGACAAACCGGAGGAAGGUGGGGAUGACGUCAAAUCAUCAUGCCCCUUAUGAUUUGGGCUACACACGUGCUACAAUGGACAAUACAAAGGGCAGCGAAACCGCGAGGUCAAGCAAAUCCCAUAAAGUUGUUCUCAGUUCGGAUUGUAGUCUGCAACUCGACUACAUGAAGCUGGAAUCGCUAGUAAUCGUAGAUCAGCAUGCUACGGUGAAUACGUUCCCGGGUCUUGUACACACCGCCCGUCACACCACGAGAGUUUGUAACACCCGAAGCCGGUGGAGU